AUUGGUACUGCCCACCUGUAUCCCAAAAGGAAAAACCAUUAAAUAAAAAACAAAAAAUGAACAAUAAUAAAAAAAUUCAGACUUCACUUGAGGGUAUUCUAAGAGUCCUCUGAGCAUAUGUAUCCAUUUAUACCACUUACGAAUCAACUGAUACAUUUGAACAAUAUAAAUUAUAUUUAACACGCCUCAAUGGUGUCAUUAUUGUUCUACUAGGAAGGAAUGAAGAAUUUUCAAUGCUUUUGUCUAUGUACUAAAGGAAUUAUUUUCGUUUUUGUGGUUGCGAACAAAAUGCAUGACAAUCACACUGCAGAAAAUCAAAAGAUAAUAUUCAAUUUCACACACGGCAAAACACCAUCUUAAGAUAUAACAGGCCUCCUUUUUUAGGACCAAAAGUGGAAAUGUU
This 403-nucleotide unclassified non-coding RNA is filed under the name Hevea brasiliensis (rubber tree). The record is from RNAcentral. Lineage: Eukaryota; Viridiplantae; Streptophyta; Magnoliopsida; Malpighiales; Euphorbiaceae.